This 637-nucleotide ribosomal RNA is filed under the name uncultured bacterium. RNAcentral describes it as "bacterial SSU rRNA". It matches the Rfam family "Bacterial small subunit ribosomal RNA", at positions 232 to 879 of the family's 1533-position model. The record is from RNAcentral.
CGCGGCCUAUCAGCUUGUUGGUGAGGUAGUGGCUCACCAAGGCGACGACGGGUAGCCGGCCUGAGAGGGCGACCGGCCACACUGGGACUGAGACACGGCCCAGACUCCUACGGGAGGUAGCAGUGGGGAAUAUUGCACAAUGGGCGCAAGCCUGAUGCAGCGACGCCACGUGAGGGAUGAAGGCCUUCGGGUUGUAAACCUCUUUCAGCAGGGAAGAAGCGUGAGUGACGGUACCUGCAGAAGAAGCACCGGCUAACUACGUGCCAGCAGCCGCGGUAAUACGUAGGGUGCGAGCGUUGUCCGGAAUUAUUGGGCGUAAAGAGCUUGUAGGCGGUUUGUCGCGUCUGCUGUGAAAAUCCGGGGCUCAACCCCGGACUUGCAGUGGGUACGGGCAGACUAGAGUGUGGUAGGGGAGACUGGAAUUCCUGGUGUAGCGGUGGAAUGCGCAGAUAUCAGGAGGAACACCGAUGGCGAAGGCAGGUCUCUGGGCCAUUACUGACGCUGAGAAGCGAAAGCAUGGGGAGCGAACAGGAUUAGAUACCCUGGUAGUCCAUGCCGUAAACGUUGGGAACUAGGUGUGGGUCUCAUUCCACGAGGUCCGCGCCGCAGCUAACGCAUUAAGUUCCCCGCCUGGGGA